GGCCUGUGGAGGAGGCUACCAUGCAGUCGACGGUAGCACAGAGAGCUUGCUCUCGGGUGACGAGUGGCGGACGGGUGAGUAAUGUCUGGGAAACUGCCUGAUGGAGGGGGAUAACUACUGGAAACGGUAGCUAAUACCGCAUAACGUCGCAAGACCAAAGAGGGGGACCUUCGGGCCUCUUGCCAUCAGAUGUGCCCAGAUGGGAUUAGCUAGUAGGUGGGGUAACGGCUCACCUAGGCGACGAUCCCUAGCUGGUCUGAGAGGAUGACCAGCCACACUGGAACUGAGACACGGUCCAGACUCCUACGGGAGGCAGCAGUGGGGAAUAUUGCACAAUGGGCGCAAGCCUGAUGCAGCCAUGCCGCGUGUAUGAAGAAGGCCUUCGGGUUGUAAAGUACUUUCAGCGGGGAGGAAGGUGUUGUGGUUAAUAACCACAGCAAUUGACGUUACCCGCAGAAGAAGCACCGGCUAACUCCGUGCCAGCAGCCGCGGUAAUACGGAGGGUGCAAGCGUUAAUCGGAAUUACUGGGCGUAAAGCGCACGCAGGCGGUCUGUCAAGUCGGAUGUGAAAUCCCCGGGCUCAACCUGGGAACUGCAUUCGAAACUGGCAGGCUAGAGUCUUGUAGAGGGGGGUAGAAUUCCAGGUGUAGCGGUGAAAUGCGUAGAGAUCUGGAGGAAUACCGGUGGCGAAGGCGGCCCCCUGGACAAAGACUGACGCUCAGGUGCGAAAGCGUGGGGGAGCAAACAGGAUUAGAUACCCUGGUAGUCCACGCCGUAAACGAUGUCGACUUGGGAGGUUGUGCCCUUGAGGCGUGGCUUCCGGAGCUAACGCGUUAAGUCGACCGCCUGGGGAGUACGGCCGCAAGGUUAAAACUCAAAUGAAUUGACGGGGGCCCGCACAAGCGGUGGAGCAUGUGGUUUAAUUCGAUGCAACGCGAAGAACCUUACCUACUCUUGACAUCCAGAGAACUUUCCAGAGAUGCAUUGGUGCCUUCGGGAACUCUGAGACAGUGCUGCAUGGCUGUCGUCAGCUCGUGUUGUGAAAUGUUGGGUUAAGUCCCGCAACGAGCGCAACCCUUAUCCUUUGUUGGC
Molecule: ribosomal RNA, 1092 nt
Filed under: Enterobacter kobei
Lineage: Bacteria; Pseudomonadati; Pseudomonadota; Gammaproteobacteria; Enterobacterales; Enterobacteriaceae
Description: bacterial SSU rRNA
Rfam family: Bacterial small subunit ribosomal RNA
Source: RNAcentral